RNAcentral lists this small RNA (2927 nucleotides) under Theobroma cacao (cacao). RNAcentral's name for it is "sRNA Tc03v2_g013440". Lineage: Eukaryota; Viridiplantae; Streptophyta; Magnoliopsida; Malvales; Malvaceae. The record is from RNAcentral.
UUGCAUAAUCAAUCAAAUAUUACGAAAGAUAUUGACAUUAAAAAAAAAAUUAGUAUUACACCUUACACAAGAUAGUAACAUGUUACUACCUAAAGUAUUACUGGCUAAGGUGUUACUGUCUAAAACAAUACUGCCCAAAGCAUUACUACUCAAAAUGAUACAGUACAAUACGUUAUGGUACAAAAAAAAUUUACUUUAAAUUAAUACAUAAGAAUUAUUUUUAACAAUAAAUUCUUAUGCAAAGAGCAAAAUGUAGAUACUAGAUUUUGGUUAAUACUGUUACUCUAAAGAAUUACAUUACAAUAUAAUGUUGUACAGAGAACAACCAGAACAAGUGAAGUGCUACUUCACGCAGAAUAAGUAAAACAAGUGAAGUGCUACUUCACGUAGAAUAAGUAGAACAAGUGAAGCGUUACUUCACGCAGAACAACUAGAACAAGCGAAAUGCUACUUAACGCAGAAUAACUAGAAUAAAUAAAACACUAUUCUAUAUGGAACAAUUAAUGGAAGUAGAACAACUACUUCGAAUAGAAUGACCACUUCACUUGGAUGACAGUGAAAGCAACUCGGAAUAAGUGGCAGGGUUCAUGGGUUACUUUCAUCUUGCGAUGUUCCAGAGAGUUUGGCUUGGUGGCUCAAAUAUGAAGAACUCCCUUUACAGUUACCAAACUUAGCUUUUUGGCCAAGGGUUUUGGCUCCCUUGAUUGUUUCGCAACAGAUGUUUUGAUUGACAGAAGUACAUUAAGUCUCAUGGUUUCAGACGAACAAAAGAAUACUCAGGUUAGUAAAGCUAUCUUUUCUGGAUUGAAGUGCUUAUGGAAAACCGAAAAUGCUAUGCUUUCGUUCUUGGUGGACGGUGCUGCAUUUGAAACAAAUGCAGAGAGAGCUUCAUGGAACACUUUUUAGUCUGUUAAAAACAAUAUUCACACAGGUAUUGAGGUUGAUGAUUUCGUUGAAAUAUUGUCAGAGCUAGUACAACCUCUUGAGGAUUUUUUUAAUGAAGUAUUUGUGAUGGUGGUUAUGUUCAGUAGACCUAUUAGUUGGAUUAUGUCCCUCAAUGGUGAUGCAGUAGUUCCAUUUAUGUCUACUAGGAUUAUGAGUGGAAACUUAUCUUACGUUCUUCAUAAUACUUCGGUAGCUACUGUUAUGAUUAUUAGGUGGAUUAUGCUGCAUUUGAAACAAAUGAAGAGAGAGCUUUAUGGAACACUCCCUAGUUUGUUAAAAACAAUAUUCACCCUGGUCAUGUUCAGCAGACCUAUUCGUUGGAUUAUAACCCUCCAUGGGGAUGCAAUAGUUCCAUUUAUGUUUGUUGGAAUUAUGAGGUAAUUGUUAUUAUGGGGAUGCAAUUGUCUCAUGGUUUCACAUGAACAAAAGAAUAUUCAGAUAUUUCGUUGUGCACCGAAGAUGUCUGAAAGUUGGAAGAGACAGAAGCUUCUUUCAAGGGCUGAAUUCCAUGUUGGUGCUUGUGUGACUAAGUUCUUGCGGCUCCAGAUGCUUUCUACUUCAUCUGAUUGAACCAGUGCCACUGCAGGCUCUGAUAAAACCAAUCGAUUUUCUUUGUUAUUUGGUACUCUGGAUGGCAGCAUUGGCAGCAUAGCUCCUCUGGAUGAACUCACAUUUCGUAGAUUGCAAUCACUACAGAAAAAGCUUGUUGAUGCAGUUCCACAUUUCGCUGGCUUAAACCCAAGGUCUUUUCACCAGUUCCGUUCAAGUCGAAAGGCUUAUAGGCCUGGUCCUGACAGCAUAGUUGACUGUGAGCUGCUUUGCCAGUAAGUAACAUCUUUUUGUUUCUGAAAAAUACUACAGAAAGUACCAUUUUCUGAUAAUUAUUAACUUGAGCUCCAGUUUGAGAAAAGUUUGUUGCAUUUUCGUUUCUUUCCCCUGCCCUUUGCGCUGCUUUCUGCCUCUGGCUACCGAAGAAUAAUAGGAUUAUGACUUUUCUUCAUUCCCAAGCAUUAACAUUUGCAUUUAUUUUCAAGUUUUUGGUUGGUUUGCCUGACUAUGUUAUCAGAAUGCAUUACUCCACUAAAAUUCAAGACAAAAUUUUCCUCAUGAAAACUGGUAACAGAUAUUAUUAACUUUGUUUCUUUAAAUUAAUCUUCCAUUCAAAAUUCUUGAGAUGUUCUUUGGAAGAGUCUCAGUUGCAUUUGUUAGAUACUUAACCUAUAUCUUUAGCAUGAGAAUUCGUCAUUAAUACAAUUUGCUUAAAUUCUUUACAUCAAUAGUUCAUUUUGAUUACUUAAUUUCAACAUGUAUAAAGUACCUCAUUCCCCACAUCUCUGAUCUGAGCCUUGCUAUGAGAGUAAAGUGUCUAGCCUUGCUGCGAGCUGCUGUCUUACACUGUUUUGUAGUUAGAAAAUGUUUCCAUGGGAGGAACAGCUUUAUAUUGCUCACCAGAUUGGAACGACCCGUUCCCAAAUUCUCUCUAAUUUAAAUGAUCUUACUUUGGGUACAAGUUCCUUGUGAAUGCAGCAGAUACCAAGGCAAAUAUUAAAACAACAUUGACUGAGCCCAAAUCAUGAUGGGCUAUACCCGUUGCAGAAUGACACCAUUCAAAAGCUUCUGUAGAUCAGGGUUGAUAGUUUUAUUUUAUGAAACAUGAAGUGUCUGAUCCCGAGAAAGAGAAAAAAUGUUGUUUAGUCACUGUACCCAUCAAAUUUGAUGGAGUAGAAUCUUGUAUCUUAGAGCUAGAGUUCACUCUAAUGUAACACAGGAUUGAUGACUGACAUUGUGAAGAGUUAAGUAGAGUCUCCAAUUCUGUACUACUAUUUUAUUCAUUAACUUGCACUUUGGUGGCUGGCAGCCUGGAGUCUUUUGCUAGAAGCGGCUCCGGCCGUAAACUGGAGUUGCAGUUGUAACUGAUUCACCGUCAGCAGGUGUAAUUUUUUUUAUAUUCCAGGUGAAUCGUGCAGUGUUAAAAUGUUGCA